UUGGAGGGCAAGUCUGGUGCCAGCAGCCGCGGUAAUUCCAGCUCCAAUAGCGUAUAUUAAAGUUGUUGCAGUUAAAAAGCUCGUAGUUGAAUUUCGGAAUCUGUCCGUCGGUUGGGCUUCACUGUCCGUACUGGUGUGAUGGGUUUCUACCUUCUGAAUAAUCGGCAUGUCAUUUAUUUGGUGCGCCGGGGAAGCAGAACUAUUACCUUGAAAAAAUUAGAGUGCUUAAAGCAGGCUAUCGCCUGAAUAGAUUAGCAUGGAAUAAUAAAAUAGGACGGCAUGGUUCUAUUUUGUUGGUUUCUAGGAUCACCGUAAUGAUUAAUAGGGAUAGUUGGGGGCAUUAGUAUUCAAUUGUCAGAGGUGAAAUUCUUGGAUUUAUUGAAGACUAACUUCUGCGAAAGCAUUUGCCAAGGAUGUUUUCAUUAAUCAAGAACGAAAGUUAGGGGAUCGAAGACGAUCAGAUACCGUCGUAGUCUUAACCAUAAACUAUGCCGACUAGGGAUCGGACGAUGUUAAUUUUUUAAUGACUCGUUCGGCGCCUUACGGGAAAC
Molecule: ribosomal RNA, 551 nt
Filed under: uncultured Acaulospora
Lineage: Eukaryota; Fungi; Glomeromycota; Glomeromycetes; Diversisporales; Acaulosporaceae
Description: SSU rRNA
Rfam family: Eukaryotic small subunit ribosomal RNA
Source: RNAcentral